Molecule: ribosomal RNA, 293 nt
Filed under: uncultured bacterium
Lineage: Bacteria
Description: partial 16S ribosomal RNA
Rfam family: Archaeal small subunit ribosomal RNA
Source: RNAcentral
GUGCCAGCAGCCGCGGUAAUACCGGCAGCCCGAGUGAUGGCCGAUCUUAUUGGGCCUAAAGCGUCCGUAGCCAGCCGAACAAGUCCGUUGGGAAAUCCACCCGCCUAACGGGUGGGCGUCCAGCGGAAACUGUCUGGCUUGGGGCCGGAGGACUCGAGGGGUACGUCCGGGGUAGGAGUGAAAUCCCGUAAUCCUGGACGGACCACCGGUGGCGAAAGCGCCUCGAGAGGACGGACCCGACGGUGAGGAACGAAAGCCAGGGUCUCGAACCGGAUUAGAUACCCCUGUAGUCC